CAACGACACGGGAGACUCGGACGCACGUACUUUUCAAGAUGCCCCGUAAUUAUAAAAGAAAAACUGAAACUAAAUACAGUUUAGAGGAUCUCAAAAAGGCUAUAGUCGAUGUUCAAACCAAGAAACUCAGCAUUGGCAGAGCAGCAAAUACUUGUGUUCCAAAAACUACAAUAUACCUUAGUAAUGUUAGUACGUGAUUACCCCACUUGGUGUUCGGCUUUACCCGACAUCAGUUGGGUAAAACCGAACACUAAGGGUUUUGUUUUUCGGUCAUUUUGUUAUAUUUUAUUAAAAAAAAUAAUGAUGUUGAUUAGUAAUACGUUAGCUAGAUAAGUAAAGUUUAUAAUUUAAUAAUUAAAGAAACUCUGUGAUUUGA
Molecule: long non-coding RNA, 376 nt
Organism: Spodoptera frugiperda (fall armyworm)
Lineage: Eukaryota; Metazoa; Arthropoda; Insecta; Lepidoptera; Noctuidae
Exons: 2
Source: RefSeq, a predicted model, not a curated record